AAGAUUCUGCUUUUUCAUUAAUUUUUUACACCCACACAAAAGGUACAUAAUGAUAAUUAUCCCUCACUAGAUAUAUAGUUAUGAGGAAAGUACAAGAAUGAACAAAAUAAUAAUCGUAACAAUAAAGCAAACUUUUGCAUGGCCAGUGGCUAAUUAAAAUAUCCCCAGACUACCAUUAAUUCAUGUAGCUUAAGCACAAAAUGGAACCCCAUCAAACUAGCUUUUGCAGUUCCAUUGAUCACCAGAUUGUAGCUUUUGGUGAUCAGAAUCUGCGCCGGCCGAUGAAACCUUAGCAGAGUGACUCUUCUUUGACACCCAGAAGAAACACCCACUUGGGAUUUCCUUUUCAUCAUCAGCGGUACUGCCGAUCUUGGAAGCUUUCUGUUUCUCCAGUUUCUUCAUUUUCUCCUUAUGCAUCGCUCGCAUGGCAUAAACUUCUACCAGACUAAGACCUGCAACUCCAGCCAUUGCCAUUAAUUAAUUACCAAGGAUUGACGACGCACUGGACCUCUCUUGUUUCGAGUAUGAAGUAAAGUUGUCAGAGAAAUUUUGAUUUCAACGCGUUGAAGAUGGGAGUUCAACGCUUAGAAGAUCAUUAAUUUAUAGGCUUCUGCUUCCCUAACGUGUGAGUGAAUGUACCAUAAUUCUUUUCUGGUUGGCUUGUCGGGC
Molecule: long non-coding RNA, 669 nt
Filed under: Citrus x clementina
Lineage: Eukaryota; Viridiplantae; Streptophyta; Magnoliopsida; Sapindales; Rutaceae
Description: Citrus clementina (C. clementina) long non-coding RNA (CCLE_LNC003051)
Source: RNAcentral